GAUGAAGAACGCAGCGAAAUGCGAUAAGUAAUGUGAAUUGCAGAAUUCAGUGAAUCAUCGAGUCUUUGAACGCACAUUGCGCCCCCUGGUAUUCCGGGGGGCAUGCCUGUCCGAGCGUCAUUGCUGCCCUCAAGCACGGCUUGUGUGUUGGGCCCCCGUCCCCGGUUUCCCCCGGGGACGGGCCCGAAAGGCAGCGGCGGCACCGCGUCCGGUCCUCGAGCGUAUGGGGCUUUGUCACCCGCUCUGUGGCCCGGCCGGCGCCAGCCGACACCCAACUUUAUUUCUAAGGUUGACCUCGGAUCAGGUAGGGAUACCCGCUGAACUUAAGCAUAUCAAUAAGCGGAGGA
RNAcentral lists this unclassified non-coding RNA (347 nucleotides) under soil metagenome. RNAcentral describes it as "partial contains 5.8S ribosomal RNA, internal transcribed spacer 2, and large subunit ribosomal RNA". The stretch from base 1 to 120 matches the Rfam family "5.8S ribosomal RNA", at positions 35 to 154 of the family's 154-position model. The record is from RNAcentral.